GCAGGGGUGGUUCAGUGGUAGAAUUCUUGCUUUCAACAAAAGAAACUGAGUUUGAUUCUCUGCUAGUGCA
Molecule: transfer RNA, 70 nt
Filed under: Loxodonta africana (African savanna elephant)
Lineage: Eukaryota; Metazoa; Chordata; Mammalia; Proboscidea; Elephantidae
Rfam family: tRNA
About the family: Transfer RNA (tRNA) molecules are approximately 80 nucleotides in length.
Source: Rfam by way of RNAcentral